UAAUUAUUGUCUUUGUUUGUAAAAUGACUCCGAUGGUUUGGACUGAAUUUAUAUCAACAUACAUUUAGCGUUUUCUCUGUUUGUAAAUGU
Long non-coding RNA from Sphaeramia orbicularis (orbiculate cardinalfish), 90 nucleotides. RefSeq lists it as uncharacterized. NCBI's taxonomy places the organism in Eukaryota, Metazoa, Chordata, Actinopteri, Kurtiformes, Apogonidae. The transcript is spliced from 3 exons. The record is from RefSeq and is a predicted model, not a curated record.